GCGGCGUGCUUAACACAUGCAAGUCGAACGGUGAACACGGAGCUUGCUCUGUGGGAUCAGUGGCGAACGGGUGAGUAACACGUGAGCAACCUGCCCCUGACUCUGGGAUAAGCGCUGGAAACGGCGUCUAAUACUGGAUAUGUGACGUGACCGCAUGGUCUGCGUUUGGAAAGAUUUUUCGGUUGGGGAGGGGCUCGCGGCCUAUCAGCUUGUUGGUGAGGUAAUGGCUCACCAAGGCGUCGACGGGUAGCCGGCCUGAGAGGGUGACCGGCCACACUGGGACUGAGACACGGCCCAGACUCCUACGGGAGGCAGCAGUGGGGAAUAUUGCACAAUGGGCGAAAGCCUGAUGCAGCAACGCCGCGUGAGGGAUGACGGCCUUCGGGUUGUAAACCUCUUUUAGCAGGGAAGAAGCGAAAGUGACGGUACCUGCAGAAAAAGCGCCGGCUAACUACGUGCCAGCAGCCGCGGUAAUACGUAGGGCGCAAGCGUUAUCCGGAAUUAUUGGGCGUAAAGAGCUCGUAGGCGGUUUGUCGCGUCUGCUGUGAAAUCCCGAGGCUCAACCUCGGGCCUGCAGUGGGUACGGGCAGACUAGAGUGCGGUAGGGGAGAUUGGAAUUCCUGGUGUAGCGGUGGAAUGCGCAGAUAUCAGGAGGAACACCGAUGGCGAAGGCAGAUCUCUGGGCCGUAACUGACGCUGAGGAGCGAAAGGGUGGGGAGCAAACAGGCUUAGAUACCCUGGUAGUCCACCCCGUAAACGUUGGGAACUAGUUGUGGGGUCCAUUCCACGGAUUCCGUGACGCAGCUAACGCAUUAAGUUCCCCGCCUGGGGAGUACGGCCGCAAGGCUAAAACUCAAAGGAAUUGACGGGGACCCGCACAAGCGGCGGAGCAUGCGGAUUAAUUCGAUGCAACGCG
This 916-nucleotide ribosomal RNA is filed under the name Microbacterium paraoxydans. RNAcentral describes it as "bacterial SSU rRNA". It matches the Rfam family "Bacterial small subunit ribosomal RNA", at positions 39 to 963 of the family's 1533-position model. Lineage: Bacteria; Bacillati; Actinomycetota; Actinomycetes; Micrococcales; Microbacteriaceae. The record is from RNAcentral.